ACGAGUGACAAAAUCACAGGUGGAUUG
Molecule: small RNA, 27 nt
Filed under: Bombyx mori (domestic silkworm)
Lineage: Eukaryota; Metazoa; Arthropoda; Insecta; Lepidoptera; Bombycidae
Description: ovarian small RNA-11443
Source: RNAcentral